UAGUCCACGCCGUAAACGAUGGUUACUAGCUGUUCGGACUUCGGUCUGAGUGGCUAAGCGAAAGUGAUAAGUAACCCACCUGGGGAGUACGUUCGCAAGAAUGAAACUCAAAGGAAUUGACGGGGGCCCGCACAAGCGGUGGAGCAUGUGGUUUAAUUCGAUGAUACGCGAGGAACCUUACCAGGGCUUAAAUGUAGAUUGACAGGUUUAGAGAUAGACUUUUCUUCGGACAAUUUACAAGGUGCUGCAUGGUUGUCGUCAGCUCGUGCCGUGAGGUGUCAGGUUAAGUCCUAUAACGAGCGCAACCCCUGUUGUUAGUUGCCAGCGAGUAAUGUCGGGAACUCUAGCAAGACUGCCGGUGCAAACCGCGAGGAAGGUGGGGAUGACGUCAAAUCAUCACGGCCUUUAUGCCUAGGGCCACACACGUGCUACAAUGGUACAUACAGAGGGUAGCGAGACGGUGACGUUGAGCCAAUCUCAGAAAGUGUAUCUCAGUUCGGAUUGGAGUCUGCAA
This 514-nucleotide ribosomal RNA is filed under the name uncultured bacterium. RNAcentral describes it as "bacterial SSU rRNA". It matches the Rfam family "Bacterial small subunit ribosomal RNA", at positions 791 to 1310 of the family's 1533-position model. The record is from RNAcentral.